CGCUCUACAAAGGCGGGGGAAUAAGCGGGGGGCAAGUCUGGUGUCAGCCGCCGCGGUAAUACCAGCUCCGCGAGUGGUCGGGACUCUUACUGGGCCUAAAGCGCCCGUAGCCGGCCCGACAAGUCACUCCUUAAAGUCCUCGGCUCAACCGGGGGAAUGGGGGUGAUACUGUCGGGCUAGGGGGCGGGAGAGGCCAGCGGUACUCCCGGAGUAGGGGCGAAAUCCUCAGAUCUCGGGAGGACCACCAGUGGCGAAAGCGGCUGGCUAGAACGCGCCCGACGGUGAGGGGCGAAAGCCGGGGCAGCAAAAGGGAUUA
This 316-nucleotide ribosomal RNA is filed under the name Sulfolobus sp. Its description in RNAcentral is "bacterial SSU rRNA". It matches the Rfam family "Archaeal small subunit ribosomal RNA", at positions 415 to 731 of the family's 1478-position model. The record is from RNAcentral. Lineage: Archaea; Thermoproteati; Thermoproteota; Thermoprotei; Sulfolobales; Sulfolobaceae.